GAUGAACGCUGGCGGCGUGCCUAAUACAUGCAAGUCGAGCGAACGGACGAGAAGCUUGCUUCUCUGAUGUUAGCGGCGGACGGGUGAGUAACACGUGGAUAACCUACCCAUAAGACUGGGAUAACUUCGGGAAACCGGAGCUAAUACCGGAUAAUAUUUUGAACCGCAUGGUUCAAAAGUGAAAGACGGUCUUGCUGUCACUUAUAGAUGGAUCCGCGCUGCAUUAGCUAGUUGGUAAGGUAACGGCUUACCAAGGCAACGAUGCAUAGCCGACCUGAGAGGGGGAUCGGCCACACUGGAACUGAGACACGGUCCAGACUCCUACGGGAGGCAGCAGUAGGGAAUCUUCCGCAAUGGGCGAAAGCCUGACGGAGCAACGCCGCGUGAGUGAUGAAGGUCUUCGGAUCGUAAAACUCUGUUAUUAGGGAAGAACAUAUGUGUAAGUAACUGUGCACAUCUUGACGGUACCUAAUCAGAAAGCCACGGCUAACUACGUG
This 497-nucleotide ribosomal RNA is filed under the name uncultured bacterium. RNAcentral's name for it is "partial 16S ribosomal RNA". It matches the Rfam family "Bacterial small subunit ribosomal RNA", at positions 28 to 507 of the family's 1533-position model. The record is from RNAcentral.